This 29-nucleotide non-coding RNA is filed under the name Macaca fascicularis (crab-eating macaque). RNAcentral also lists the same sequence under 1 other name. Lineage: Eukaryota; Metazoa; Chordata; Mammalia; Primates; Cercopithecidae. The record is from RNAcentral.
ACCAGGGAAGUGCCUGCGAGCUGGUCUGC